UAUAAACUUGCAAUUCAAAAGCAAAUCAGCAUAAGCUUUUCCCAAUUAUUAAUCAAUACGGUAGGUCCGAGAUGCUUUUCUACACAGAAGAGGGACAUCUCUUCAAUACAUUAUCCAUUGAUUAUCUGCUCAGCAUGAAAUCUAUAAAUUCAGUGACCUAAAGGUUCAUUCAUUUUGGAGCUGGGUUUGAAAGGAAAGGCAAGAUUAUAAUGAUGGGGGCUUUGCUUGUUGUGCAGUGCUAAGGCCAUCUUUCUUUACGUACAGUAUAGGGUUUUUGCAGCUGCUCCAGAUAUUCAACAGAUAGUUUCUAGAAUGAUUAAGCAUCUUUUGGAGAUAAAUUUCAUAUUGCUGCAUCUAGCAUGGUGGUGGGGAACCUGCAGCCUUCCAGUUAGACUUCCUGCUCCCAUCAGUUCAGGUAUUGAACUGUUCCCUUCCCUGUAGGAAGUAUGCAAUGAGAAUGUAUAUAAGUGUGUUUUUCCUUUUGUCCAUCCUGCAUGUUUGCAAGCAAGGACCCUGUUAAAGAUCAGGCUUACUAGCCGCUUUGCUUCAUCCUGUCUUUGGUUGGUCUCUUCAUUCUCCGACUGAUAGCCUCACUGAUCUCUAUACGGGCUCCUUGCAUGCAGCUCCUACAUGGAAGGGAGCAGUUCAGUAUUUUUACAACAGAAGCUCUGGGUAGUUGAGCAGAGUUACAAAUUUGUAUGUGUGAGUGACAUACCGGUAGAGACAGAGAAAUUCCAGAGGGGCGAUCCUGUUAGGCUGCAAUAGAUUGUAAUGGAUUGCUUUGAAGCAGGGCCAGAUUUUGGUUUGAUGAGGCCCUAAGCUACUGAAGGUAAUGGGGCCCUUUAUAUGUCCAGCUGCCCUUUGUCAACAACAAAUGUCACUGUAUUUUUGUGUUGAAUAUAUGCUAUAUGGUAAUUGAUGGACCUAAUAGGUAUCUAGCGCCAUUUGCACAUGUAGCCACGCAACCAGUCCAUGCAGAAUGUAGGCACCCUAUGAAGAAAUGAGCAAACCAGUGAUAUUUUAGGGAGCAGGCUAGCGGGUGGGGCCCAUUACUUGCAUCAUAGGAGCCUACACAAGACAAAACACUUGCUGUAUGUAGGUUUUAUUUUAUUUGUUUAUUAUAUUUUGGAAAUGUACAUCUAGGGUUUUUUUCCCUUUAAAUUUUUGUGGGGGCCCCAAGAGAGUGGGGUCCUAAGCUAUACCUUGUUUAGCUUAUACGUAAAUCCAGCACUGCUUUGAAGUCACUUCAGUGGGGGGAGGGAGAGACCCCCCCCCAAAAAAAUCUCCUUGUCAUGCCCUGUAUUUUUCCACAUAAGAUUAUAAUGAGGAAUACCGCAAGUAUUUCUAUGGUUGUAAAGCCCUUCACAAUUUGGUGAGGAACAUCCUUCAACGUAAUGAAAUCUACAAAUUGUACAUAAAUGCAAUGCUAUAGUCUUGUCACAUUGGGAUUAACAGACUCAAAAUCAUAAACCUGUAAUAUUUACAAAAUAGUAAUACAUACCCAACACUGCUUUCUAUUCUUAUUUUACAAUGCUUAUUUUACAAUGGUAUUCCAGGACACUGUGCGAUACACUCAUGUUAUAAACUGUAAUUUAUACAAAAGCCAAAGUAUCAACCCAGGUGUAUGUAAUUAACCAAUAAGUUACCUCAGUCUUUAAAGGAGGGCUUUACAUUUACGGUACAGUCCUUUGCCACAUGUGCCACGUCGAAGGUAGUUUACAUUAUCAGAUGCCCGUGUGGUCUCUUGUAUGUGGGAUGCACACUGAGACCCAUUAAAUUUCGGAGCAUAAGAAUAAGGAACAAUAUAAACGAUGCUCCCCUAGUUGCACACUUUAAUGAAGCAUCACAUACUGACGAGGAUUUAUCUUUUUUCGUUAUUUGGACAUAUCAUGGACCCUUGGAACUAGCCAAGAAGAUUCUUCUACAGAAAGAGACCAGAUUUAUUUACUUAUUAUUUAAUACAUUAACACCUUAGGUCUCAAUACAGAUUUAGAUCUUAACUGUUUCUUAUAAAUUAAGAACUGUAAUCUUGCAGCAUUUUGGGGGGUUAUCGCUUUAAGACUGAGGUAACUAUUGGUUAAUUACAUACACCUGGGUUGAUACUUUGGCUUUUUGUAUCAAUUACAGUUUAUAACAUGACUGUAUUUUUCCACAACAAAGGUGGCAACCCAAACAGCAGAACUUUCCCUUCCAUCACUCGACCUGCAGUGCAGGGAGAGAGAGCACCCUUGGGUCCGCUCGGUGGGGGGCGUGAUCAGUGCAGGAGCAGCCCAGGAAGUAGUAAGGCGGAAGGUCCGGCUGGAAUGGCGGACAGGGAAGAAGCCGAGGUGCGGGUGGCGGAGGAGACGUUGCGCGCCUGGGAACGUGACCAAGCACAGCUGAAGGCAGAUGUAAUUGACCAGGACACCCAGGAGUGGCAAAGCACCCCCUCCUUUGCUGGACUGGAGAGAGUUGGAGGAGUGGAUCUGUCUUACAUCAAAGGAGAUGACACAAGAGCCUGUGCUUCACUGGUGGUGCUCAGCUACCCAGACCUUGAGGUCUUGUAUGAAGACUGUUGCAUGGUAGCUGUGAAUGCCCCAUACGUGGCAGGUUUCCUGGCCUUCAGAGAAGUCCCUUUUCUUGUGGAGGCCGUCCAGCGUCUAGAGCGAAAAGAGCCUGGUCUCAGGCCCCAGCUCCUGCUCGUAGAUGGAAAUGGCAUUCUCCACCACAGAGGCUUCGGCAUUGCCUGCCAUCUCGGUGUGCUCACAGGCCUCCCCUGCGUUGGUGUAGCCAAAAACCUCCUGCAGGUUGAUGGUCUGGCCAAUGACGAGCUGCACAAGGAACAGAUCCAAGACCUUCAGGCAGGAGGAGACACAUUCCCCCUAUUGAGUACUUCAGGGAAAAUCUUGGGUAUGGCUUUGCGCAGCUACGCCAAGAGCACCAAACCUGUGUACGUCUCUGUGGGCCACAAGAUGAGCCUUCUGUCUGCUGUGCAGUUAGUGCACUCCUGCUGCAGGUAUCGGGUUCCUGAGCCCAUCCGACAGGUGAGAACAGGAGUUCAGGUGGAAGGGUGGUGCUGGCAGCCUCAGGCCAAGGGACCAGCUGAUCUGCCAAUUUGCCGCGUCAGUUGUAGGCUAGGGCUUCCAGUGGUGGUUGACCUGAUGGCUGCCAGAAGGUUGCCAACACGGCGAUGACCAUCGUCCUGUUGUUUGUCCUCAGCGUCUUGUGUUCUGAGGUUGCUAUACGUCCUCUAUUUGCGGAGGCUUCAGUUUAGGUAUCUUGGCUGAUGAUAGCCAUCAAAGAUCUGUCCUCCAUGACAGGGGGAGGUAACCUGCUGGUUUUGGCCUAAAUGCCCAAAGCACUCAGAACUUGGGCAAGAGCAAUCUGUCUCUUCCUUAGCAGGAUGAGCAGAGAGACAGAGAGGGAUGGGGUGGCAGACACAAGGAGUGGCAAGGCAACCCAGCCAGAUGGGCAGGGGGAUAAAUUAUAAAAUUGUUGUUGUUGUUGUUGUUGUUCUGGCCCACUUUUAGCUCUGGUCCCACCCCCUGCUGACUUCUACCCUGCGCACUCCUGGCAUGUCACCACCAGCAAAUUACGCCUGUCAUGACCACCGGCCACCUGCCAGCUAGCCAACCUCUGGGCCUCAUGCCAUCUAAGGAGAGGGUCUUCCUGGCUGACACAGAGUGUAAUUCCCUUUUAAAUAACUUGCUGCUGCCAGAUAAAGCAGAGGAACUCUUUCUUUCCUUCUUUCCUUCUUUCCUUCUUUCCUUCUUUCCUUCUUUCCUUCUUUCCUUCUUUCCUUCUUUCCUUCUUUCCUUCUUUCCUUCUUUCCUUCUUUCCUUCUUUCCUUCUUUCCUUCUUUCCAAGGCUGCCUUAAACUUACAAGGCUGCCUUAAAUCAGGCUUAAACUCUCCCCUGGGGUCUCCCUGAAACUUCCUAAGGUAGUGCAAGGUUUAUGGCUCCCAGGUAGGAGGGUGUUUGCAAUCAGCUUAAACCACCUGGGUUUAUGAAAAAGCAAAAGGAAAUGACUAAGAUUGGAUGGAAAAAAUAUGGCGUUUUAAAGAAAAGGUAUUACAAGGAAAAGUUACAGAAAAGCAGUAUAUUCCCCAAUGGAGCAAAAUAACAAAAUAGAUUAAAGUGUGAUCCUCUUUUCCUCUUCUCUUAUUACAUGCAGUAGAGCUGGUUCUCACUUAUUCUCACAAAGCCUUUUCUUAUCACACUGAGACCCACCUUGGUCUGCCCACCUCCAAACUAUACGGGGCCAGCUCUUCAUAGACCCCCGGUGGCGCAGUGCACCACGGCACGGGGCUGGUAAGUUGGGUGCCGGCCUGGCAAGGAGGGCACCGCGCGAAAACCAAUUGCGCCCUGCGAGGGCGGGGCGGGCAGCGGAGCGAUCUCCGCCCCUCAGCACCAGGGCGCGCGAUCUGCUCAAGACGGCCCUGAAACUAUACGAACUGCUUAAAAAAGCAAAAACAAACUUUGUUUGCCUGCCCCCACUUUAUAUCUUCAGUUCCUCCUGUCAUGCUGCACAAGUUCACCUUCUAAUCCCCAAAUAGUAUGAGAUAGUAUACAGCAUUUCCUAAAAGCAAGGCUCAAUUCCUUCACAACCUCCAAGGUGGGGAAUCGCCGCCCCACAAGCCGAAUCGGACCUGCCAAAGCUCCCCAUUUUGUUUUGUGAGGCCACUUUAGCUAAGCCAUGCCCGUGCGUGCAUUACAUAUGGCAUGGGCCAGAUCCAGCACUCUGGCCAUUACAUCACACCGGCUGUUCCUUCUGCUCUCCAAGCACAUAGGUGCAUGGCCUUUUAGCAGGCUGCUUUUUAUUGCAGGAUUUGUUUACUAGGAAUUGCUUUUGGGCUGGCUCCAUCCAUAACUGCUUAGCAAAUCAUUAAACACCCUUCCCAAGAGAUCUUCCCCUUUUAGGACGCACUGGAUAGUUAAGAUUUUUGCAAAUAUCCUAGCCCAGGCAUGUCCAAAGUCCAUUUCAGGGGCCUGAUCCGGCUCGUGGGUUGGUUCAAUCCAGCCCCUGUGGCAGUUUACUUCCUGGGCUAAAAUCCUAAAAAAAAACCUCAACAACUUUGGUUGGCCCUUUGGUCGGCCCUCAUGGACCUUCACUUCAUCAAAUCUGGCCCUCUUUGAAAAAAGGUUUGGACACCACUGUCCUAGCCAAUGACAUUUUCCCCUGUCACCCCUCUGUCAAUCACACCAUGGCAUCAAGGGGAGCAAUUUGCUUUUGCUGAGAAAACUAUAGGGUGCCCAACUAUAGGUGGAUGAAGUCUCCCAUCCGAAUUUCACGCCUGGGUGUUCCUGGAGUGCAGGAUUUGAUGUCACUGCACGAUAUAUUACUGCCUACGAUGCAGGUGGAGGUUGCCCACGAAUAACUGGCAAACCUGCACACCAGCAGACUUAAAUGGCGACCACAAGGAUAAAAGGAGUAGACUAAAUCACCCACCUCCUUUCUAAGGCCUCUCUUUUCUUGAGAUGGAGAUGCCUUGCCAGCUGCAGGAGGCUGUGCACUCACUGGCUGGCUGGCUGGCUGGCUGGCUGAAUAGCUCUAGCAGCAUUGCUCACAUCACCAGACUGCGGUGCUGCCUCUGGCUCAGGACCCUGCAAGAGAGUCUUCAGAAGCUCCCCGUUGAGAAUACAGCCAGAAGGUGGCAGUGCUAGACCACCUUUCUUAACCUGGAGGCUGCAUUUGAGCAGCGGGAGAUUGUAGAGUGGUGCGUGGGCAAUCAGACAUGCCGAUAGCCUGUGCCUUUGCUGGCUGCAAGGUAGGAUGAAGUUCAGGAGAAGCGGCUUCUCCCUUCCCUGCAGCACUCUGCGAGGGAGUGCUGUUUCCAGGGCCCAGCUACCAAAACCGCAGGGAACGUUUCUUAGUCGGCGGAGUGUGCGUAGUUGGGGCUCCCUCUUGAUCUGCGGUUGCUUCGCACAUGCAUGCAUGUGCUCAUCAUUUAUUUGCUACAGCAUUGCCUAAGAAGCCAUAAUAGUUCAAGCAUCAGAGGGAGGGAACGAGAGGGAGAGAAGAAAUGCUCGCACUGCGUCACAUCAUCACAAAUACAAGGCCUCUCGUUGUGAUCGCUUUGCGUUUCCAAGUCACCAAGUGCUCUGUGAUCCAAGGUUUUGGGUGCGCUUGUGAACUAGCCCUGAAUGGAGCCUGUUCCAGUGUAUAUUUGAAAAGAAAAACUGCUCCAGUGUUUCUGUUUGAUUGCUGCAGCAUGCUCCACAUCUCACAACACUUUAGUAAUGGUAGGUUGCUUCACCCCUGCUCUUACUACUACACAGGAGAAAGUCCCCUGUCCACAAAAGAGCAGGGGGGAAGUUUGUUGUGUGAUUUUAGGCCCCUCUUUCCGUGCUUCCCAGCACUGGAAUGAAACAGGCUCCAGUUCGUUGGGAACAGAACUUCCAAGCUCCACAGUCUCCAAACAUGCCCUGGGCUGAUGUUCCCAAAUCUCUUCCCAAAAUACUCCCGGCAUAACCUCAAGCCCCUAAUGCUGCUGCUGCUGCAGCUAGCCUAUUCCAAAAAUAGGUGUGAUCUGGAGGGAUUAUUAAGGCAACAUGAUCCAUCUUAUUGAUUAGCCUCUUGGUUUAAUAAGCCGGGUUAAGCUGACUCUUAGCACAGUGCUAGGAGUGAAGACUGGCAAGACUUUUUUUGCAAACGAAAAAGACACUUAAUAAGGCAUCAGAUAAACUUGCUUUAGGAGUGUCUCCCAAACCCAGGCUACCAAAAGUGAAAUGGAGGUAGCUCUUGAUGCUGCUACCAGUUAGUGUGACACUUAAUAAACUAGAAUUGAAAUGCCGCAGGUUUUAUUGAAAUAUACUGAAAUGCAUUCAAAUCCCCUGGUUAUGAACCCAUUUGGGCCACUAGGGACUGGAAGUCCCUGGUCGUGAAUUUCAUUGCAAAGCCAGCUUUUUAAUCAAAGGAAGCAGAGUUAUUUGUCAGCUGGGUGUAAGAUGAGAUAAAUUCCUCCAGUGAAACAGUUCCACCUGUAGCCAUUUUUCAUUUUCACUCCAGAUGGAUGGAUUUAUUUUGGAAGAGCGGGGUGGCCUUUAGCUUCUACUGUAGCAUAUAACACAGCUUGCUUGUUUGAGCCAUCUAGAUUCCCUUGUCCCGAAGGGAAUUCUGGUAUGGAGCUGAAUGAUGGGAACUAAUUUUGGUAGAAAAGUGUAGGAGAAGGACUCUCAAAGUUUGUCAUAAUGAACCUUCCCAAUGGGGAGGGAUGCUGGUAGCCGGCAGGCAUUGAAAAGCAGCACCUUGCAAAAUUCCCUUACUUGUGCCUCUUAAUCUAACUCUUAUUAAAUGUACAGGCGUCCUGUCUAAGUAUGGACCUGACAAGCUCUAAUGGAACAGUGAGACCUAAGAAGCAAUUAGGCUGAGGGCCUGAUACAAUCAGCCAUGUCAUUUUUGACCACAGUUCCCAUUGCAUACAAAGACUAACGCUGCCUCUGCGUACACAUGUAAGCUUCUCUAUCUUCAAAGGCAUUAGUUGAGCUGCAGUGGUAUUAAAGAAUAUUAUCCAGUUAUAGUGGAGAAGAGGAAAUCUUCCUUUUUAGCAUUCCCCAGUGAAAGUGGAGAGGCCAGCUUUGCCUUGAGCAAAAGAGGAGAAGAGGCUUGAGGGUGUGCAGGACAACUGUGUAGCUACAUGGAGGAGAGGGAAAGAUGCCUAGCUGGGGGACAGGAGGAGCUGUCUCUGCAGAGGGCAAGGAGCCUGGCUGCUGGGGACCCCCAAUUGCCAAGGGAGACUCUACCAGGGACACUAUGUUUGGGGGAGAAGGAGGAGGCGGCUGAAUGCCGUGUAUUGGUUUGAAAUCGUUAACGAAAACCAGUGGUUAACAACAACAGAAAGAAAGUUAACCUGUCCAAAUAUGGGCAAACCAACUUUGUCCUGCGGAGUGCUGCAGAAACUCGAUCCCAAGGGAUAGGGGUUGGGCAGGCAGGUUAUUCUGUGAUAUUUGGGAAGCCUGGAAGGUGGUAAAACUGGGUAUUGGCUUGUACAUCAGGCCUAAGCAUUGCAAAUGGAGCCCUUCCCUUGCUGCCCUCAUGGAUUCAGUGUACAACAUGCAGGCUUGGGAGAUCUAGGGCAUGCAUGGGAUAUGUUGUGCCCCAGGCCUUCUUCUGGCUCAUGGCAUGAAAUGAGACCUUCCUCAGAUAACUGUAGGCAUAGCAGGGAGAGUCUGAGCUGUACCAUGCAAGUUACAAUAGGCGCCUCUAAGCCCUGGCAAAGGCCAAUGGCAGUUCAGAGGGGCUGGAGACUUGUGGCCUGGUGAGAUCUGUUCUGAAUCCUGGCUGACCAGCCACAGGAAAUGAUAAACCCUCCACCCCAUUCUCAGCCCUGGCACAGAGACUAUCUCAUAUGACUGCUGGUCAAACACACCCAAGUCUUUGCCCCAAGUGGUGUGAGAAAUGGUCAGAAAUUGGGAAGGGCGGGUUGUGGGACGUCUUUAUUGUCUACCAUCUGGUGAGCUCUGAGUUAGUGGCAGCAAUUUCCCCCGCAAGGCUGAUGAGCCCAUUCAGAUGGUUUGUCCUUGGAGGUUUAUUGGACCUCAUGGGUUCCUAAAUCUUUCCAAUGAGAAAAGCUGAUGAUCCCAUUGCAGCCCUGGUCUCGCUGCCAGGUAUAUUUGUUUUUAAAAGCAUUGCUGUAAUUACUGACAAUUAUUUUAUUAUAUACACCACUUAAAUAUUUUUUUGAGUAAGCAAAUCUAUAAUUCCCCCCCCCCCUAUAUCAAUAAACCCAGCCAGACCACAAAUCCUCCACAAAGUAUUGGCUUGUUCUAGAAUUAGGAAGUGAUUCCCCUGGGAAGCCUAGUGAAAUACGUUCCCCAAGGAAGCGUGUGACAACCCAUGAUGAGAAUUCUGUCCCAUUGGCUCUCUGCUAUUUCAAUCAACUCAGCCAUUUUGGCAGCAUGCGCCUGCUCACAUCACUUCGUUCUGAACACUGAACUGGCACACCUGCUGUUUGAGCUGGAGAAUCAGUCAAAAACUUAUAGAUGCAUACAUACAUACAUGCACAUGCUCACAUACAAUAUAUUCAUAGCCUAGAAGUAACUGCUUGAAUCUCCAGAGAAGUGGACACGGAGCAAUGGAUUCAAGCUACAAGAAAGAAGAUUCCACCUAAACAUUAGGAAGAACUUCCUGACAGUAAGAGCUGUUCAGCAGUGGAAUUUGCUGCCAAGGAGUGUGGUGGAGUCUCCUUCUUUGGAGGUCUUUAAGCAGAGGCUUGACAGGCAUAUGUCAAGAAUGCUUUGAUGGUGUUUCCUGCUUGGCAGGGGGUUGGACUGGAUGGCCCUUGUGGUCUCUUCCAACUCUAUGAUUCCUUUGGGAAAUCUCUAACCUGCUGAACAAGUCAUAGGUAUAGAAGACCGUUUUCUCCAAGUUAUUCAGAAGGCACCUCCCAUUGAAUCCAGACAUGGAUCAGGGACGGCUCACAGGAGCUCAUGCCUGCAGAGUACAUUCUGUGCAUGCAGGAGGUCAAAUUUUCACCAUUUCAACUUUUAGACGGGGUCAGGUCAGAAGUGACGAUGAGAAAGUUGGAGACACCCAAGGCUAAGUGGGCGCAGAGUAGCCUGACCCUUCUACAAGCCCUCUGGAUUUGUUCCUUGAUUUCAAUGCCCGUUCUAUUUUUUUAAUUUUUUUUAAAGGCACCCAUGACAGUAGGCAGGUAUCGGGGAUGUGUUUUGCCACCUAAUUACUUGAGCCAGAUUGGAGCGCAGCCUGGAAUUAAUAGGGAGGCCUUGUGGUGAGUUGUUGGGUGGGAAGUCAGUCCAGAAAAUGUUCCUCAGAUGGUUGGCCUAAGCAUGGGCAGGGCUGGGAUCUGGGCGUUUCUUCUUCAUUGUUCAUUAGGUGUCAUUUAUUCCCUCUCGUCCCACCACAAGCUCCUCAGAUACAAUCGCAGACAUCAGCCAGCCAAAACAAACUGCCCACCCCGGUUCUGUUUUCUGCCCUGAUUCCAGGCCGACAUAAGAUCCAGAGAGUACAUCCGGAAACAUUUGGAAGCCGUCUCUGCAUCGCCUCAGCCAGAGAGGAUGAGUGAAGACGCAGACGCAGACUCUGAACAUUAACGCAGCAUUGAGGACGUUCUUCAAAACCUCUUUGUCCAGGACAAGUGACAGAACAACCUCCCAGCUGCCCUGCGACUCCUGCUGACUUCCCCGUGCAGCAGAAGGAACAACGGAGCUUCAGUGCCACAACAUCGGGGCCCUGAUCCCCCAGUUGUACAGCUGGGGCUAUCUCCCACCUUUGGGGCUGCUUCUCACCUUUUGUAGCAGGAAAAACUCUGUUGGUUACCAGAGCCCAGACUAGGUGCAAUGUUAGUUGCACAAAGAAGAAAAUGUACACAGCACUACUGCAAUGGAAAUAGAGGGAAGAUUAGCCUCCAUCAGCAAUGAAGCAUUUUGGAACACAGGAUGGAGCAGGAAGAAAAUUGCUUUAGGAACUUAAGAUUGAACAGCUUCUGUAGAUACAAGGUGAGUGCCUGUCCAAAUCUGAGCCCUAUAUAAUAACUGUGCUAGGGGCUUAGCUUUAAACACUUCAAGGGUUGACAGUAUGUGAUUGCCACCUUUUGUAUGGAAAAAGCAUGUUAGAAUUUUGGCGCUUUGAGACGCUUUUUCCUUUGCAUAUUUCUGAUGUGCUCCCCAUGACCCUGUUGACUGAAAAAUAAGGCCGAGGUAUUUAAAGGCUUUAACUUGUUCUGUCAACUGAUGAUCCAUAUACCAUCUAUGGGCCCUAUAGUUUCUUGAAAACACAAUGUCUUUAGUUUUCUUGUAAUUCACAGCCAGCUGUAUGUUUUUAUAUAUACUGGAAGCCGCCCAGAGUGGUUGGGGCAACCUGGUAAAGAUGUGUGGGGUAUAAAUAGUAAAAUUAUCAUUUAUGGAAUGGGACAUCCCUAUUUUAAUCGGAGAAACGUUGGAGAGUAUGUGAUUAGAUAUUCUGUUUUGGCUCCCAUGAAAUCAUGGCCUCCAAAGAUAUGUGUUUUUUAGGGCUCUUAUGUAAGUCAGGUGAAAGAUGUGUGUCCUGAUUUUCCUUCAACAUGUUGGAGGGUAUGCUCUUCACCAUUCACAAAGGUACAUACCUUAAAGCCCUUUCCCCACCUGUCUAAAUUACAAAAAAAGCAAACAUUUGAGGCCCUUUUCUCACAGGGAAGUUGCUCCAACAAGCAAAUUCUCAACAGCAUCUACCUAGGUGCUCCAGUUUCUGAUAAACAUCUCCACGAACUAUGACUGCGACAUUUUCAGAGUAAAGGCAAGCCUUGAAUGAAGCUUGUUGUUAUUCAGCUUCACGAAAUAUGUUGACCUUCAACUCUGAACAUUUUGUUUUGCUUUUGUUAAUAAUGAAUCACUAUCAGAUGAUUAUGUAGCAAUAGAGAAUUAAAUGACGGAGGGUUGCAGCUCAGCUUUCAGGGGUGACUCGUGAUGCCCAAGCAACAGGGCUUUGGUUCCAUGGCUCAGUAAGUUGUAAACAUGCUGUUCCUUGUCGCAGCUGUUCUAAGUGAGUAAAGCAAUGGUAUUUGGGGAGAGCAGAGGUGUGAGGUUUGGGCAAUCAAAUAAGAAACCUGCUUUUGGAGGGAGAAGCCUCUUUGCAUGGGUAGGCAACAAGAUUGCCUGCUCUUUCUAAACCACUAGCUCUGUCAGUUCUAAUCUAGUAGGCGACAGCUCUGAAUUUCUUACGGUACUUUGGGGAAAUCCAUGGGAGAUGGAAUUAACGUCUUUGCCUCCUUGCUUUCAACUGUGCCCAUGUUCCAUAGCGUUGUAACUCCACAGAACAUAAUGAUGUCCUUAAUUUUAGAAUGUCAGGCCCGUUGUUCAGAUAGCACUGCUACAGCUUACCCCAUACUAUUUAAAUGCCACAUCGCUGGAGAUGGAGGUCAGUGGACCACGAUGACCUGCAGACAAGAGCAAAGAACUGGCUUGGACGCCUCCUUUGCUGCCCAUAUUUUUACGGGCAAGUAGGCACCACCACUGGCCAAAUAGCCGGCACUUUCCUUUCGCUUAUGUUUCAGUACAAAUGCAAAUAAGGCUCAGAUGCCAGGGCUUUAAUUGGAUUCCUGCGCAGUUGGUUGGUGGCAGCGGUGCCUGGGGAAAGUCAGAUUCUGGCUUUCACUGAUCUUCGUGAGCCAGUUGCUGCCUUAUGGCUGCUCCUUCUGAGUUUGCUCAUGCAACUGAUAUCAAUUUGUGUGGAUGGAACCAGAGGUGGAUUUAGGGAAGCGUGAUCAGUUCAGUCACGCUGUGUGCAGAGAGCUGCUUCAGGGGCACCACAGGGGGAGCUGCAACUAUGAUGUAGAAUGGAAGGUACAGCUGGUGUGUGUGCCAGAUUCUUGCAUUGCACAGGGCACCGCUGAAAUUUGAGACCCCAAGAUCCUCCACUGGUGGAAGUGUUCUCCGUCGAAAAUUAUCACCUCAUCUCCCAUUAACAGGUCUUGGUUGCCCCUGUCUACUCUUUAUGCUAUGGCACAAACCUCCAAAUUUCUUAGCAUGUUACAAGUACCAACUAUACUGG
Non-coding RNA from Zootoca vivipara (common lizard), 12466 nucleotides. NCBI's taxonomy places the organism in Eukaryota, Metazoa, Chordata, Lepidosauria, Squamata, Lacertidae. The record is from RefSeq and is a predicted model, not a curated record.